This 274-nucleotide ribosomal RNA is filed under the name uncultured bacterium. RNAcentral's name for it is "partial 16S ribosomal RNA". It matches the Rfam family "Bacterial small subunit ribosomal RNA", at positions 523 to 796 of the family's 1533-position model. The record is from RNAcentral.
AUACGGAGGGGGUUAGCGUUGUUCGGAAUUACUGGGCGUAAAGCGUACGUAGGCGGAUCAGAAAGUAAGGGGUGAAAUCCCAGGGAUCAACCCUGGAACUGCCUCUUAAACUCCUGGUCUUGAGUUCGAGAGAGGUGAGUGGAAUUCCAAGUGUAGAGGUGAAAUUCGUAGAUAUUUGGAGGAACACCAGUGGCGAAGGCGGCUCACUGGCUCGAUACUGACGCUGAGGUACGAAAGUGUGGGGAGCAAACAGGAUUAGAUACCCUUGUAGUCC